Molecule: ribosomal RNA, 406 nt
Filed under: uncultured soil bacterium
Lineage: Bacteria
Description: bacterial SSU rRNA
Rfam family: Bacterial small subunit ribosomal RNA
Source: RNAcentral
AGAUUGAACGCUGGCGGCAUGCCUAACACAUGCAAGUCGAACGGGAGUAGCAAUACUCUAGUGGCGGACGGGUGAGGAAUACGUAGGAAUUUGCCCUUAAGUGGGGGAUAACCCGGGGAAACCCGGAUUAAUACCGCAUGACCUCGAAAGAGCAAAGUGGGGGAUCGCAAGACCUCACGCUUUUGGAGAAGCCUACGUCGGAUUAGCUAGUUGGUGAGGUAAUGGCUCACCAAGGCGACGAUCCGUAACUGGUCUGAGAGGAUGAUCAGUCACACCGGAACUGAGACACGGUCCGGACUCCUACGGGAGGCAGCAGUGGGGAAUAUUGGACAAUGGGCGCAAGCCUGAUCCAGCAAUGCCGCGUGUGUGAAGAAGGCCUUGGUUGUAAGACACUUAAGUUAGGUAA